RNAcentral lists this long non-coding RNA (234 nucleotides) under Setaria italica (foxtail millet). RNAcentral's name for it is "long non-coding RNA (SITA_LNC002435)". The record is from RNAcentral. Lineage: Eukaryota; Viridiplantae; Streptophyta; Magnoliopsida; Poales; Poaceae.
GAUGGUGGGGGAGAUCGUCGUUCCUCUCGCGGCAAGGGGAAAACCAUAGUUGGCCCUCACGAUAAGCCGAAAAACAUGAGUGCGUGGGAGAAAGCAAUGCUUCAUUAUUUGCAAAGAUGUCAUGAAGAUGUGUUGCGGCGGGUCAGGAACCUCCUUUUGGUGGUCGUUAUGCUCCACCGCCAAUUCCAGGUGUUUUAGGUCCACUUAUAAGUACUACCAUUGCAGGAGGUACAA